UCUGUGACAUAUCUACAAUGGCCUGGCUCUCUCUCCUGUUCCCCUUCAUCUCUUUCUGCACAGGUUCCAUGGCCUCCUAUGUACUGACCCAACCUUCUUCACUAUCAGUGGCCUUAGGUCAAACGGCCACUAUAUCCUGUUCUGGAGAUAAACUCUCAGAUAAAUAUGUUCAGUGGUACCAGCAGAAGGAAGGCCAUGCCCCUGUGCUGGUCAUAUAUAAAGAUGAUAAACGCCCGGAUGGCAUCCCAGACCAAUUUUCAGGCUCCAACUCAGAUAACAAGGCCACCCUGACCAUCCGCAAUAUCCAGGCUGAAGAUGAAGCUGACUACUACUGUCAGAUUUGGGAUAGCACAAGUAGUGCUCACAUUACAGUUUCCUCCACUCUACUCAUUUUAAGGACAAGGGAUGAAUGUGAAUUAAAGGUCCAGGUCAUGAGGAAGCAGGUCGUGACUGUCUCUAAUGAGAGUAUCACAGGAUCAGAAUUCAUUGGUAUCCUUACAAUUCUUCUUCCGGAGAUAGCAUAUGAUGAGUUGAGAGGGAUUCAGGCCCAGCAGCUGGACCACUGUGAUCGCUUGGGCAGACUCAGGAGGAAGUGUCACCCAGAUUUUAAUGGCACAAACACCUAA
Molecule: non-coding RNA, 626 nt
Organism: Microtus ochrogaster (prairie vole)
Lineage: Eukaryota; Metazoa; Chordata; Mammalia; Rodentia; Cricetidae
Source: the annotation of a RefSeq genome assembly